RNAcentral lists this ribosomal RNA (254 nucleotides) under uncultured bacterium. RNAcentral describes it as "partial 16S ribosomal RNA". It matches the Rfam family "Bacterial small subunit ribosomal RNA", at positions 524 to 776 of the family's 1533-position model. The record is from RNAcentral.
UACGUAGGGGGCAAGCGUUGUCCGGAUUUAUUGGGCGUAAAGAGCUCGUAGGUGGUUCGGUAAGUCGGAUGUGAAAUCUCCAGGCUCAACCUGGAGGGGUCAUUCGAUACUGCCGUGACUAGAGGUCGGUAGGGGAGUGUGGAAUUCCUGGUGGAGCGGUGAAAUGCGCAGAUAUCAGGAGGAACACCCGAGCGAAGGCGGCACUCUGGGCCGAUACUGACACUGAGGAGCGAAAAGCGUGGGGAGCGAACAGG